UGGGAUGAGUUGAUCGAGUGUGUGGCGCUACACACCCCCUCGCUUGAGAGUGACACCAUCUCAUCCUGGCAUCUCAAGUCGAGUGGACAAUUCUCCUCUAGGUCCUUAUAGAAGGCCAUUGCGGCCACGCCGGGCCCGGAGGAACUUAAUCUCCUUUGGGAGAUAAAAGUGCCGAUGAAGAUCAAAAUCUUCCUAUGGCAAUUGGUUCGAGGUCAAUUACCCUCGAGUACCGAGGUUCGAAAGGGAAGUGGCCCCAGCGAUGGAAACUGCGCACUAUGUGUUGUCCCAGAAGACUCGAACCAUAUCUUUUUCAGAUGUCCGGCAGCAAUCUUUUUGUGGAGCACCCUACGGGAGGGGAUUGGUGGCGUGUGCUUCCAUGACAACCUCCCAGAUAUGUUCCUGGAAGUGCAUAACAUGUCGCCUAGUCAACGACCCAUAAUGUGGGUGGUAGUUAGCACCUAG
Molecule: ribosomal RNA, 462 nt
Filed under: Triticum aestivum (bread wheat)
Lineage: Eukaryota; Viridiplantae; Streptophyta; Magnoliopsida; Poales; Poaceae
Description: partial small subunit ribosomal RNA
Source: RNAcentral